This 393-nucleotide ribosomal RNA is filed under the name uncultured bacterium. RNAcentral's name for it is "partial 16S ribosomal RNA". It matches the Rfam family "Bacterial small subunit ribosomal RNA", at positions 523 to 918 of the family's 1533-position model. The record is from RNAcentral.
AUACGGAGGAUCCGAGCGUUAUCCGGAUUUAUUGGGUUUAAAGGGUGCGCAGGCGGGAGAUUAAGUCGGCGGUGAAAUUUUGCAGCUCAACUGUAAAAGGGCCUUCGAAACUGGUUUUCUUGAGUGUAGAUGGAGUAGGGGGAAUUUGUGGUGUAGCGGUGAAAUGCAUAGAUAUCACGAGGAACUCCGAUUGCGCAGGCAGCUUACUAAACUACUACUGGCGCUCAGGCACGAAGGCGUGGGGAUCAAACAGGAUUAGAUACCCUGGUAGUCCACGCAGUAAACGAUGAUUACUAGCUGUUUGCGAUACAAUGUAAGCGGCUGAGCGAAAGCGUUAAGUAAUCCACCUGGGGAGUACGUUCGCAAGAAUGAAACUCAAAUGAAUUGACGGGG